UUUUAAGGAGGUAAGAUUGUUACAAUUCAAUUUUUAUAGUCAAAAAUUCAAAUGUUGACUAGUUAAGGUCAAAAUCAAUUAAAGACUAAAAUGAAAUUAAAUAUUUUAUUUGAGUUUAUUUUGCAAUUGGCAAAAUAUGAAGGUUAAAUUGGAUACAUUUCAAAGUUUGGAAUUUAUUUAUAUACUUUUGGAAGUUAUAGGAUUAAAUGUCACUCAAGAACGGAGUUGAAGGACUUAUUUUGCAAAUUUGGGUAUGUGGACCAUUAAAUUCAACCUUUGACCCAUUUUAUCUCAAAUUCACACACUCACACACACAAAAUAAAUGGGCAGAAGCUGGAGAAGCCGAGAAAGAAGGGAAAAACUAAAGAAAGAAGGAAGGAAAAAAA
Molecule: long non-coding RNA, 386 nt
Filed under: Olea europaea (common olive)
Lineage: Eukaryota; Viridiplantae; Streptophyta; Magnoliopsida; Lamiales; Oleaceae
Description: long non-coding RNA (OEUR_LNC010518)
Source: RNAcentral